This 492-nucleotide ribosomal RNA is filed under the name uncultured bacterium. RNAcentral describes it as "partial 16S ribosomal RNA". It matches the Rfam family "Bacterial small subunit ribosomal RNA", at positions 29 to 507 of the family's 1533-position model. The record is from RNAcentral.
AGUGAACGCUGGCGGUAGGCCUAACACAUGCAAGUCGAACGGCAGCACAGUAAGAGCUUGCUCUUACGGGUGGCGAGUGGCGGACGGGUGAGGAAUACAUCGGAAUCUACUUUUUCGUGGGGGAUAACGUAGGGAAACUUACGCUAAUACCGCAUACGACCUACGGGUGAAAGCAGGGGAUCUUCGGACCUUGCGCGAUUGAAUGAGCCGAUGUCGGAUUAGCUAGUUGGCGGGGUAAAGGCCCACCAAGGCGACGAUCCGUAGCUGGUCUGAGAGGAUGUUCAGCCACACUGGAACUGAGACACGGUCCAGACUCCUACGGGAGGCAGCAGUGGGGAAUAUUGGACAAUGGGCGCAAGCCUGCUCCAGCCAUACCGCGUGGGUGAAGAAGGCCUUCGGGUUGUAAAGCCCUUUUGUUGGGAAAGAAAAGCAGCAGGUUAAUACCCCGCUGUUCUGACGGUACCCAAAGAAUAAGCACCGGCUAACUUCGUG